CAUGUAGGUGGUCUGUCAAGUCUGAUGUGAAAGCCCAGGGCUCAACCCCGGAAGUGCAUUGGAAACUGGCAGACUUGAGUACGGGAGAGGAAAGUGGAAUUUCGAGUGUAGGGGUGAAAUCCGUAGAUAUUCGAAGGAACACCAGUGGCGAAGGCGGCUUUCUGGACCGAUACUGACGCUGAGAUGCGAAAGCGUGGGGAGCAAACAGGAUUAGAUACCCUGGUAGUCC
Molecule: ribosomal RNA, 229 nt
Filed under: uncultured bacterium
Lineage: Bacteria
Description: partial 16S ribosomal RNA
Rfam family: Bacterial small subunit ribosomal RNA
Source: RNAcentral